CAAAAUAUAGCUUAACCAAAGCAUCUCGCUUACACCGAAAAAAUAUCUGUGAAACUCAGAUUAUUUUGA
RNAcentral lists this transfer RNA (69 nucleotides) under Nyctimantis siemersi (red-spotted Argentina frog). RNAcentral describes it as "tRNA-Val". It matches the Rfam family "tRNA". From Rfam's summary of the family: Transfer RNA (tRNA) molecules are approximately 80 nucleotides in length. Their secondary structure includes four short double-helical elements and three loops (D, anti-codon, and T loops). Lineage: Eukaryota; Metazoa; Chordata; Amphibia; Anura; Hylidae. The record is from RNAcentral.